UGUUCAACGGCCGCGGUAUCCUAACCGUGCGAAGGUAGCGUAAUCACUUGUUCUUUAAAUGCGGACUAGUAUGAAUGGCACUACGAGGGUUAUACUGUCUCCUCUUUCUAAUCAGUGAAACUAAUUUUCCCGUGAAGAAGCGGGAAUAUAAUUAUAAGACGAGAAGACCCUAUGGAGCUUUAAACAACCUAGCAAUUACUUCUAAAAUUAUAAAUUUCAGAAUACUCAUUUUUUAAGCAAUAUGUCUGCAAGUUUUUGGUUGGGGUGACCAUGGAGUAUAACACAACCUCCAUAUUGAAUGAAUUUUAUUCUAAGCUGAAAAUUACUAAUUGAAGCAUCAACACACUGACAUCUAUUGACCCAAUAUAUUUGAUCAACGAACCAAGUUACCCUAGGGAUAACAGCGCAAUCCACUUCAAGAGCCCCUAUCGACAAGUGGGUUUACGACCUCGAUGUUGGAUCAGGGUAUCCCAGUGGCGCAGCCGCUACUAAAGGUUC
RNAcentral lists this ribosomal RNA (498 nucleotides) under Rhinella sp. nov. MF-2017. RNAcentral describes it as "partial 16S ribosomal RNA". It matches the Rfam family "Bacterial large subunit ribosomal RNA", at positions 1921 to 2574 of the family's 2925-position model. The record is from RNAcentral. Lineage: Eukaryota; Metazoa; Chordata; Amphibia; Anura; Bufonidae.